RNAcentral lists this ribosomal RNA (369 nucleotides) under uncultured bacterium. RNAcentral's name for it is "bacterial SSU rRNA". It matches the Rfam family "Bacterial small subunit ribosomal RNA", at positions 527 to 896 of the family's 1533-position model. The record is from RNAcentral.
GUACUGUGCGAACGUUACUCGGAAUUACUGGGCUUAAAGGGUGUGUAGGCGGCUGAUUAAGUAGGGUGUGAAAGGCUCCGGCCUAACCGGAGCAUUGCGCUCUAAACUGAUCGGCUUGAGUGAGAUAGGGGUGUGCGGAACUUCCAGUGGAGCGGUGAAAUGCGUUGAUAUUGGAAGGAACGCCGGUGGCGAAAGCGGCACACUGGGUCUUAACUGACGCUGAGACACGAAAGCCAGGGGAGCGAACGGGAUUGGAUACCCCGGUAGUCCUGGCUGUAAACGAUGAGCACUAGUUGGGAGGGGCUUCGGCCCAUCCGAACGCAGAGAAAUCAUUAAGUGCUCCGCCUGGGGAGUAUGGUCGCAAGGCUG